UAAUAACAGGUGUAAGAGUUUUAAGGGCCUUACCUGGACUGACAGAGGUUGCGAUUUGCACUGAAGAAUCUUUUCUAAGAUCUGUAGUGGAUGUGGAUUCAGCUACUGCAGUUUUUGAUCCCUGCUUGGUGUUCUUCUUUCGAGUAUCCCACCAGUCAGGAUAUCCAAUGAUUUCAAAACAUUGUUCUUUUGUAUGACCAUUCUUCCUACAAUGAGUGCAAUGGAGUGAUGACUUGUCAACAAGCUUCCUUUGAGGCUGUUGUCGUGCUAUCAUAGCAGACGUUUAUGAGUCGACCUUCUUGUUUAGUUUGUUUUGCCAUACAUCUUAUCUCCGGAUAAGAGAAUAACAUUCUUCUAAGUCUGGGAUAAUAUCUUUUCAUAGAAUUUCUCUACGAACUUGGUCAAAUUCUUCAUCUAGCCCAGCAAGAAAAAUGUGCACUCUCAAUCUUUCAACAGACCUUCUGUAUAUUACAACAUCUUCUGGAUCUUUCAUGACCACUUUAUCUCGAUGAUCAAGUUCUCGAAAUAUUUCGAUCAAUUCUCCGUAGAAUUUAGAGAGUGGUUGUCCAUUUUGCUUGGUAGAGAACGCCUUCUGGUUUAGAGUGAAAACUUGUAAUUCAUCGCUUCCAUCAUAGAAGGCUUUUGAUAAUGCAUCCCAAAUUUCGUAGGCUGUAGGAAUUCGUAAAUAUCACUUCAUGAUCUCCGGAGACAUGAGUAACCAUCGUUUUACUUUUUGGUUCUCACUAUACCAUUUCUCAUAUUCUUUUGAAGAUUCCUCAUAUAGCUUUGUGUUGCUACGAAUACAUGAGAGUUUUUCUCUUUCUGCGAGAUGCAUCUCCAUUAUUUGAGACCAAACAUCGUAGUUUGUCUCAGUGAGGAUAAUUCCAGCAUUAAAUAUUCCAUCAGAUUGAACAGAUUGAAUGACUAUUGUGCAAAUUUAUUGAACUCGCAAGUGCACGAAUUUAUUGUAGUAUAGAUCAAUGGUGAUGAGUGUCGAUCCCACGAGGAGGUGGAUUUUAAUUAUAUGUAGAAUUAAUUUUGUAUGAGGGUGGUUGGAUUUGUGGUGAAAAUGAUUUGGAUUAUCCUAAAAUUCGAAUUAAAAUGGCAAGAAUAAAUUGAAGUGAAAAUCUAUUAAAUUGACGUACUUGGGUAUCUGGAUCCGUAUCAACAUGCACCAUGGGCUAAAUAUUCCUUAUUAAUGCCAAUUGAAUCAUGAGGGUGGAAUCCACACCUCAUGAACCACACUCUAAUCAAUAUGGUGCUAAGGGCUUAUCAUGCCAAAUAAUAAUAACCUUGUACUAAGGAGCCGGUGUAACCAAUGCGGUAUCUAGACAAGAUUAUUAUUAUUUGUCGACGAAAAGUCAAAUCAUCCACAAAAAUUAGAGGGGAAAAGAAAAUAAAUUUACCAAAUAAAGCCCAUGACACAUGUUGAGACUUCACCUUCAACCCAAGCUUGAAAGAAAAUUAGCUACUUAUAAUUGAACUAGGGGCAAAAUGAAAAUUUAUUAAAAUACGUAGAAAAUACAAGAUGGAGAAGAAAUUACAGAAAAUGGAUCCCAAAAAUGGAUUCAGAGAUAUCAAAUUAGGGGGGGGGGGGAGGCCCCUUUUUUAUAGAUACAUUGAGUAAAUCGUGGCCAUCGGAUUAAAAACAGUUUGGACGCUCAGGAUUUUGCCACGUCAUCAGUCAACAGUACGCGGUUUGACCACGUGGGUGAACAGUAACACGGUUUGACCCGGGUUGAACAAUGAUGCGGUUUGGUUGAAAAUAAUCCUGUGUAAUGCAUGUACCGUACGCGACAUUUUUGGUCCACUGAUAUGCUGCCACGUCAUCGAUCAACAGUGCAUAAGAAUUUUAGUCCAACAGGAUUGUGACACCUCAUCAGUCAAUGCCACAUCAUCGGUCAAUGCAACGUCAUCAAUCCGUCUAUGUGAACAGUGUCGUGAACAGUAACGUAGACAGUAUCAUAUAAGUGAAUAGUACCAUACAUGUGAACAGUGCCAUUUUUCCUUUUAUGCUCCUCCUAAGGUUUUCGACCGUCCUGAGUUCAAAAGUGAUGUCCGUUUUGCCAUCUGAUCUCUCGUUCAUUGUGAAAUGACUAUAAUGCCCCUAAAAUACAUAAAAUACUUAAUUAAAAUAAAACACACAUAAUUAAAUGACAAGAAGUUUAAAUACAUAAAAGUAAGGGUGUUAGUAAAACUUAAAGUGUAAAAUGACGAUUUUCUCCUUUAUAACUAUACAUUUUCUAACACUCAACAAUGACAACAGGAGCAGAUUCAGUUGGAGUUUUCUCCAUUUUUUGUUGUUUUUUUUUUCUCUUUUUCCUUUUUUUUCUCUUUUUUUUUCCUUUUUUUUUUGGCGCCUAGAUUGAAAUAAGGGAAAAUAACCUUUUUAGAUCAAAGAACGACAAGUCAUUUGGCCUCUGCUUGACGAAACGACAUGUCGGUUCUGAUGGAAUAUAAACGACAUGUCGUUUGACGACUGCUGCACUUCUGGAGAUUGAACGUGACGUCGUUUUAUCUCUAAUUUACAACCGACAUGUCUGUUGUAAUGUAAUAAAAAAUGACACGUCAUUGUAUUACCAGCUGCACUCUUGAGAUAAAAAUAAAAUGUCGGUUGAUGUCUUCUUCAACCUCUCGAGCGCGUGAAUAUGACAGAGGCGCAUGGUUGACUGGCCGUGGCUUCCGGUGGCACGUGGGAGCGCGUGGAAAUGUGUUUAAAUGCCAAAGUUUUACAGUUUUCUUACUGGAAACUGAGAAAUAUGAUGGUAUUCUUGGUUUUUUAGGAACACACUCUUGGAAAAUUAAUGGGAUUGCUGAUAAAUUUGUAAACUCAAGUUUUUUACGUAUGGGUGGCUUGUUUCUUGAUCGGCAUGGAUUUCGGUAAUGGUAGGAAUGGGUUUAAGGAAGAAAAUGGUGGGAAAAAAAUGGUUGUGGGAGGAAUUUGGUUUCCUCUGUUUUUAUUACGAACAGAGCUGCGAAACUUGAAGAAACUUGAAGAAACUUGAGCGUAUUCAUGGCUCUGAUACCAUGAAGAAACAUGUUUUUAUUUCUUGAAAUAAAACAUUAUACACUGAGAGUUAUUUAUAGAUGCAGAUGCUACAUUUUUUCAAAGAUUACAUAUGUGAAUAUGGAAGGAAAUGUGUCAAUCCGUUCGGCGUGGAUCGUGUCUUUGACAAAUGCAGAUUAUCCCUUUGACAAGUGCGGAUUAUGUCUUUGAAAACUUUCUCCAAUGCCAUUUUAUUCAACAAAUACGAUCUCAUCAGCUAUUAUAUUAAUUUCUAUUUUGCCAUUGCAUGAAAUUAUGAAAAAAGGAUAUUGAAGAGUUUCUUGCCACAAAUUGAACCUGCAUCUCUGUAAGCAUUACUCUUGCAUUUUCGCGGAAAAGGGAGUAAGUGAAUGGCCUAAAUUCAUGGUUCAUUUCAUAUUAUGGAGUUUCUUUCUUCAGGAUGAUUUCGGCUGGAAUUCUCAUAAUUUGCGUCCAAAAAUCCACUAUUGAUAGGCUUAGUGCUUGCCAUUUUGCCUUUACAGCUGGUAGUGGUUGUAUGCUUGUUGGAUUAGUCAAAAAAAUCAAUUGGCAUUGGUCACAAAUUUUUUAUUCAAUUUUUUAUUCGAGCUGAGGGAUACAUACAGUAGUAGACGUCGUGUUCUAUGUUCUCUUUCCCAUAUAUAUAACUAUAGUAAGAGAUAUAUAUGGCUUUUAUAUAAUUCUCAAUAUCAUAGGCGGUAAACAUGGACUCUUGGCUAAAAGACAAUAUGAACAUGAAACCAUUUCACGUGGGUGAUCAAUUAAUAACUUUCAUUUUUUUUACUUCUUAUAGAAGUCAGAAGAGAGUGUACCUGCGACCAGUGGCGGUGCCAAAAAUUAUUUUUAGCGCGGGCUACGUUCACAUAAUAGUUUAAUUCAAGAAAGUAAUCAAUAAAUAACAUAUAUCAAAAUAAAAUUUCAUUAAAAUAUUUAAUUCAACACACUUAUAAUUGUCUUCGACGAGGUUUCAUAUGUUGAAAACGUUGAAGAAUAACUUCAUUGUCAAGACUACAAAAUAUAUCAUUUUUUAUGAAUACAACAAGGUUAUCAUUCAACCAUUGAUCUCUCAUCCGAUUUCGCAGACGGUUUUUCACAAAAUUCAUAGCCGAAAAUGCCCUUUCUAUUGUAACUACGGCAACUGGUAAAAUCAAUGCUAAUGUCACCAAUAAAUAAACUAAUGAAUAUAAUUGAUCCUUUUUAGUCUCAACCAAUUUUCUUGCUAGCUCACCAAUCCCUUUCAAUCUGAAAAUUUGUUGUUAGAACCGACAUCCAUAAUAUAAACAUCAAAUUGAGUUUCAAGUGCCACAAGAUCCAUUAGAGAAAAAUCAUUUGGAUAAAACUCAGCAAGGUGAAGUAGUUUCUAUUUAUCAAAAGCUGCAAAUGAGUCAUUGGGGCAUAGACAUGCCACACAAAGAAGUAGGGGUGGGCAUCGGAUCGGAUUCGGAUUUGAAGGCAAAUCCGAUUGGAUGAAGUCUGUGCGAUCUGAUCGGAUUUGGUUCGGAUCGGAUCGAAUUCGGAUCAAUCCGAAUCAUCCGAUCGGAUCUGCACUAUAAACUAAAAAAAAGAAAAUUAAAUAAAUAAGCGAAAGUACUAAAAAAAUAAGUUUAACUCAUGUUCGGAUUCGGACUUCGGACUUCGGAUCACUAGUGCAGUCAGUCAGUCACCACUCACCAGUUCACACUUCACAUUGUUCAUCUCACUCUUAGAUCUUACGUCUCAGUCACAGACUCACAGUACCAACUCAAACUGACAUUAACAAAAGACACAGGACUCAGCGAGCACGAGCAGCAGAGCAAAAGCAAAAUGCCAAAUCCAGCUUCAUCUCGUCAUCCGUCUUGAACCCAUUAACGAGUAACGACCACGCCAAAACUCAGCUGCCGCCGGCCCGCUGACACCAAUCGACUGGAAGCUAGCCGAUUUCAACUGAAACCCAGGCGAACGAAACCAAAUUAAUCGACCUAAACCCAGCUGAAACCCAGCUGACAGCUGCCUCUUCAACCACCGAACUGAUCACGUCCAGCGCCGGCCAGUUGCCACGCCAAACGCCGAUAAUCCACUUCCACUAUUCCCAAGCACCUAGCAACUUUAUUCAUGGUAAGCAAUUAAACCAGACCCAUGACAAUUGAAAGUUAACACAACUCAGAAUUUCAUGCUUCUUUUCGACUUUUAGGGUUUUUUUAGUUGUAUUACUGCUUGGAAAAUGAAAAACCGAAAAUGCCACCAAAUGGUUUGGGCCAAACCCGAGAGCAAGCGGCUAGCUCCCAAACCCGAGAGCAAGACAUGAAUUGUUCUGUUUUUUCCUUUUAUUUUUUCUAAUGUAUGAUUAUUCAUUUGUAAUAUUAGUUGAGAAAGACAUGAAUAUGUAUUGAUGUAAAAUUCAAAUUUAUUAAUUAUUAAAUAAUCAUCAUUAUUUAAUGCAUGAUUAUUCAUUUAUAACAUUAGUUUAUUAAUUAUUAAUAAACUAAGGAACAAUAUCAAUUCUUUAAAAUUAAAAAUUCAACUUCAUACCGUACAUUGUGGUAGUAGAAUUAUUUUAUGAUAAGUUAAUGUCAUUAAUUGCUUUAUUUCCAAAUAAUAAUUUGAUGAAUGAAUUUGUAUAGCUAGUAAGCUAGGCUGAAGAGAUUAUAUAUAGUCAAAAGUUAUAUUUAUUUUUUAGUUGAAAAUUCAUAAACGAAAGUUACAGAACAAUGAUGAUUGAUAUGAUUUUUUUAUUUUCAGAUGACUGGACAUUCAAAAUCAAAUUCCAAUGAUGAAGAUGAAGUUGAAAGUGUACAAGUACCCACAGAAAAGACAAAUACAAAGCGGAAGAAUCCAACUCAGAGACGACCAAUAAAGAAAAGAUCUGAGACAUGGAAUCAUUACACUGUACUUGAGGACAAUCAAUAUAAAGCAAAGUGCAACUAUUGUGGCAAGAUAUAUCAGUGCCAUCCUAGGUUUGAUGGGAUUAGCAAUAUGGGAACUCAUUUAAAAGUAUGUGAAGCAUACUUGAACGUGAAGCGAGAGCAAGAUGAAAGACUACAAAAAUUGGCAGCCGAGAGUGGUGAAGGAAAUGCAAGUAAUAUGGUUUUGGCUAAAGGAUGGAGUCAAGAAGCUUGUAGAAGGACAGUUAGUAAAAUGAUUAUCUUGGGCAAGUUGCCGCUUAAUUUUGUUGACAACAAAGGGUUUAUGCAUUUUUGCAAUGUAGUUGUUCCUCAGUUUAUUAUGCCAUCUUGGAGAACUAUUAGUAGAGAUGUUAUGGAUAUGUUCUUGGAAGAAAAGGGAAUUUUGAAGAGUUUGAUAUGCAAGAAUAAGCAUAGAGUGUCUCUUACAACUGACAUAUGGACUUCAGUUCAGAACAUGAGUUAUAUGGUAAUCACAGCUCACUUUAUUGAUAGUGAUUGGUGUUUACAUAGGAAGAUUAUUAGUUUUAGCGUGAUUGAAGACCAUAAAGGGAAGUCCAUUGGCAAAAAGAUUUAGUCUUGUUUGCUUGAAUGGGGAAUAGAGAGGGUGUGUGCAAUAACUGUUGAUAAUGCGUCGGGCAAUGAUGUUGUUAUUGAUUAUGUGAAGAACCAAAUGCUUAUGUGGAAGAAUGUUGAUGCACUUGUGUUGCGGGGUGAUUACAUGCAUGUGCGUUGUUGUGCACAUAUCUUAAAUUUGAUUGUCACUAGGGGGUUAAAAGAGUUGCAUGCCUCAGUUGCCGGUAUUCGGAAUGCUGUGAAGUAUGUUAGAUCAUCCACUUCGAGAUUAAAAGCAUUUAAACAGUGUGUAGAUCAUGUGAAAGGCCCUAAUGGAACUGUGGUUUUGGAUUGUAUCACUAGGUGGAAUUCCACCUAUUUGAUGUUGAUGACUGCUUUGAAAUUUGGGGAGGCAUUUGAGAGGAUGGCAGAAGUGGAUAAACCGUAUGAAGCAUACUUUAGAGAGGAAGAAAACGAGAAAAAAAAGGGUAGGGCCACCUGAGCUUGAAGAUUGGGAACAUGCCGAAAGAAUUGUGAGGUUUUUAAAGAUCUUUAUGAUGCUACAUUGACUUUUUCAGCCUCUUUGAGUGUCACUUCUAAUCUUUGUUGCGAUACAAUUGGCUUAAUCGAGAAUCCAUUGAGUGCAUUAGAAAAAAGCAAAGAUGUUUAUGUGCAUUUGAUGGCUUCUAGUAUGAGGGAAAAAUAUGACAAAUAUUAGGAGUGCACAGAGAAAAUCAACAAAAUCAACAAAAUCUUGAUUAUUGCCUCAAUACUUUAUCCGCAUUGCAAAAUGGAUUUUACUAAACAUAUUUUUAGUAUGAUAUUUUCCGAUGAUAGUGCAAAGAUUGAAGAAAUGGUCGCGGUGAUGAAAGGCUUGUUAAAUUCACUUUUUGAUGCAUAUAGUGGAUGGAACUCCUCACCACCAUUGUCUAGUGAGAGUUUUCGUAGUGGCAGUGCCAGUGGUGGCGGUGGCGGUUCUAGUUCUUCUCCGCACCUUAUAGAUGACACGGAUCGGCAACAAGGGUACAUAAUGGAACAUGGUGAUGAUACUUUACGAGUUGCUCGCCCUUUUCUUGGAUAUGCUAAGAAAGUUUUAAUUCAAAACGAGGGCAAGCUUAUGACGACCGAGGUGGAAAGAUACUUACUUAACCCGAUUGAAGAUCCUAGUAAUGAUAAACUAAAUUUUUUAUUAUGGUGGAAGGUGAACAGGUCGAAGUAUCCGAUAUUGCAGAAAAUAGCAAGGGAUAUCCUUGCAAUUUCGGUAUCCACUGUGGCUUCGGAGUCCGCCUUCAGCACUGGGGGUCGUAUCAUGACGAAUAUAGGAGUUCUUUAACUCCCACUAUGAUUGAAGCAUUGAUUUGCACUGAAAAUUUGUUGCAGUCUAAACUUUUUUGCCACUCCUAUCUACGACCUUAAUCAAGAGUUGAAAGAUCAUAUAUAUCAAAUGGAGUUACAAGAGGGUAACUUUUUUAUAUUACAUUUUAUAUAGAAUACCUUUUAAAUUUAUUAUAACACAUUUUUUAUAUUACUCGUGCACUAAUUAUAAGUUAUUAUGUUUUUUUUUUCAUUUUAAAGAGUAUGUACAAUCACAAGCUUCAACAAUUACAAGUUACAACGAUGGGUGCUAGUAUUCGUCAUGAUAUUUGAAUAGGUAAGGUAACUCUUAAAUUUAAUAAAUCUUUUGGUUUCAAGGUAUUAUAUUUAUAAUUGUUUUACUUUUGGUUUUAAGUCAAUUGUAACAUGAUAAUUGUUUGUGAUCUUAUGUUAGGAAAAUUGAAGUUGGUAGUUGGAAAGCAAAAGUUAAGGAUUCAUCAAAGUGUGUUGUGAGUUUAAUUUGAUAUUAUUGUACUUUUGGUUUGAGGAACUUGUAGUCUAUCUAAAUGUUUUGGGAUGAUAAUUUUUAUUUUGGUUUAUUUUAUUGUUGGAUGAUAUAAUGAUAAUAUUUAUUUUGUGAUUUUGUGUUGUUUAUUUAUUUGGAGACUUGGAGUAAUGUUUAAUUGUUUAUUUUGUGUUGUUUGUUGGGAGACUUGGAGUAAUGUUUAUUUUGUGUUGUUUACUUGGAGACUUAGAGUUGGAGCAAAGUUUAUUUUGUGUUGUUUAUUUAGAGGCUUGGAGCAAUGUUUAUUUUAUGUUGCUUAUUUGGAGGCUUGGACUUGGAGUAAUGUUUAUGCACCUAACUUGUAAGAGCAUUAGUGCAUUACUAAUUAAAUGAAAUGGGAGUGCUUGUUUUCUUGGUAUAUGUCAAUGCCAUAUUGUCAAGGAGACAAUACAAUAUAGAUUGUCAUUUGUUAGCUUGUUUUCAUUUUCUUUUUUUUUUUAAUGGUUAGUAAGUUUUCAUUACUUAUAGAUUUCAUAAUUUUUUUGUGAGAAUUGUGAAAAAGGUCCAAAUCCGAUUUCAAUCCGAAUUAAUCCGAAUCCAAAAUAUAAUCCGAAUCCGAAAAUUAAUCCAAAAUCCAAACUCAUCCGAUCCAAUCCGAAUCCGAAUUCAAUCCAAAUUUUCAUCCGAUCUAAAUCCGAUCCGAAUAAUUCGGAUCGGAUGAAAAUUCGGAUUGAAUUCGGAUGAAUUUUUUUUCAAUCCGAAUUAUCCGAAAUCCGAUCGAAUUCAUCCGAAUCCGAAAUUGCCCACCCCUACAAAGAAGCAACUCAGUAUUCGUCUUAUUGAAACGAUUGCUUAAUUCUUUAAGUUGCAUGUCCAAAAUUGCAUAAAAUAAUUCAACACGAAAACAAUGCAAAUUUGUGAUCUUUUGAGCCUUGCGUUGUGAUCUUUCUUGAGUUCGAAACAAAUCAUCCAUAUUCGGAACAUCAAUAUCAUGCUUUACACAAUAAGAAAAAGUUUCACCAAAUAAAGAGUCUCAUCCAUUUUCUCCAGUCUUUUGCAAGUUUCUCUUAUACACUUCAAUUAAUUUCAUAGCAUUCACAAUGUCUUGAUCCUUUUUUUGUAAUGCUUGUGAUAACUCAUGUGCAAAUCCAAGAAUAUUUUUCAUUAACAGCAGGCUAAACACAAAAUCAAAUGAUUGCAUUGACUUCAAUAACAUUCUAGCUUGAAAUCUUUGUUCAGAAUUUCCCUCAUUUGAAAUUAUCUCAAGCAUGUCAAUAAUAGAUGGAAACAUGGUGAUUAUACUCAAUAACGUACCAUAAUGUGAGCCCCAACGUGUAUCAGCAGAUCGCUUUAAAGUAACCUCUUGAUUUAAACCUCGUCCACUUGAAAGUUCACCAUCAUCAAGUGUUUUAAUAACUGCUUGAGCAUGUUUCUCUUGAAGAAUAUCACGACGUUUUGUUGAAGCACCAACAACAUUAACUAACAUUGUAAGAGAAUUAAUUAUGAGAAUUUAAAGAGAAACUGAAAACAAUUCCCAUGUCAAAAUGUAAAAACAAAUACAAAAAUACAAAAUAUUAAUUUAAUAAACUAACUACCCGAUUAAAUCCUCAACCACUAAGUUACUAAUCCAUCAUAGCAUCACGCCAUCACCAAUGGCAUUGUUAUUCUAUUAUUUAUAAUGAGUAAAGUUAAAAGCAUUGCCACUUUAUCAAGAAGCAUCGCCACUUUAUCAAGAAACAUGCCACAAUUAUUCUAUUCAAAAAGUAUAAACAAAUUCAAGAAUUGUAAUAUUAAAUUAUAAAGUGACAAAGAUGUUUAAUUAUUAAAAUAAUUUAGCCACUCGGCCUUUGGCCGAGUGGUCAGGGCAGCAAUUCGAACCCCCACAAAAGCAUUGUGGGGGUAUUUCCUUCCUCAAUUAAAAAUUGAGUGAAGGUAGUCUUCUUUUUUACCCAUGAGUGAGGAGUGGACAUCCCUCGAAUAUUUGUGAGGGUUAAAAUCUGGGCAGAGCUCCAUUAGUAUUGAUGUAAGUUGGUCCCAGUAAUAGUCUGAUUUGUAAAUAUCAGUUAUACUCUCAUGUAAUAUGAGUUGUAAUAUGAGCAAUAGUCUCAUGUAAUCAAAAAAAAAAUUAUCAAAAUAAUUUAAUCAAUUCUUAAUAAUUAAUCUAAAAGCUGCAAAGGUAUGACAGUAGUACCUGAAAAAAUGCAAAGAUGCAGACCAUGCGGUGGUGCAGGGCUCCGAGUGCCAACUGCAAGUUGUAGCAUAUAUGGCAUGAAAGCAAAGAGGUGUGAUGGCAUGAGAGUUUGACAGAGAUAGACGACAGGCUGAUCACUGAUGGUAGCCGAUGGAGUUUUUCUUUGGCAAAGGAUCGAUGGUGGUGGUUAGGGAUUUGAUUUUGAGUUUUUUUUUUUAAUUUCUAAUCGUUGUUUUAAAUAUUAGUCUUUUAGUUAUUUCAAAAAAAAAUUCAGGGACUUUAUUGUAAAUUCACUAAAAAAAGAUAAAUUUAAUUGUUUUUAAAAUUCUAGGGGGGCCUUCAGCCCCCAGCUCUCAAGUGGCGCCGCCUCUGCCUGCAACGUCAAUCGUAUCAAGCAAAGAUAUAGGACAUUUAAUAAUGAAAAAAUUAGGAAUUUUCAUGGACACACCAGUCGGUUCCGUAAAUAUAUAGAAUCAACUGAUUCUAGGUACCUUACAAUGUGAUUUUUUUCCCCUUGAAGAUAAGGACUAUUUUUUAGGAUACUGGCCGUUGAGGCUUUGUUUGUAUUUUUGCAAGAAAAUGGAAAAGGGUGGGCUAAAUCGCAAAAAAUAAAGCUAAUAGCUGCUAAAUUGAAUUUUUUAAGAGUGUUUUAAUGUGGAAUUUGAUUUGGGAACUUUUUUGUAGUUACAAGAAACAGCCACACCGGGUAACAAUUAGGGCAUUCUUUCAUAAAUUGGAUAUCAAUAGUAUCGAGUACGAAUGAGGAUGGUUAAAUGCCUAAUCACCCUAUUAAUCUUACAGUCGACAAAAAGCAAAAGCAAAAGCAAAAGCAAUAGCAUUACAAAUAGUAUAACUAUCAAAUUGAUUCACUAUGUCUAAACGACAAGUCAUCUAAAUAAUUUGUCAUCUAAUUACUAAAUUAUUUGACGCAACGACUGAUUUAGAAUUUUAAUUUAGAGGGGGCUUGGUACAAAUACUGUGAUUCACAGUAGCGCGUUCGAUGGUGCGAGUGAUCAACAACAACGACAGACAAGUGAGGCAAUGAUGAUGUAUAUGUUGGAAAUAUGAAUUCAUAUUGUUUUUUGAAAGUACACAAUAUGAAUAGUAGCUGUUGGUACUGUUACUUCACUAUUUACUAAUACUAUUGAUCUUACUGUUCACUCAACAACAAUCGUAAAUUUGUCAAGGUGUGUUCGAAGUGUCCUUAAGACUAAUUUUUGCUUCUCUAGAAAGAUUUUCCGAUACAAAAAAUAUAUAUAUAUAAAACGAAUUGAUCCCUAGGAUAUAAUGACAUUAUUGUGAGCUUGCACUCCAAGCACAAUAGUUUAGAAUAACAAAAGAAAAAUUAAUGAAAAAAAUAUAAGAUAGAAGAAUAGGUUACAAUGGUUGUGCCUUGAAGAUUUUGUAUUUUGAAAUACCAAUAAAACUCUAAGAAUAAGCUUAAAUAAUUUGAUCAAAAUUGCACUUUAAGAUGAAACACUAAUUAAUGGCCUUUCAAGACUUGAAUUGGGUUAAAUAGUUUAUGUACGAAAAUUGAAUUAUUGACAUCCCUAUCUCCUUUUAUAUAUUGUUGGUAAUAAAUCUAAUAACUUUAUGUGGUUGUGAUUCUUAAUGUAGUUUUUUUUAAUCGUUAGCUGUGUACGUGUCAUUAUUAGCAAUGUGUCAUUUUCAUUACUGUGUCAUUGUUGGCAGUGUGUCAUUUUCAUUACUGUGUCAUUUGUAGUAUUUAGAAUCAUUGGCCAAUAAUUUUGUAACAAGACCAACAUAUAGGGGUAAAUGACAAAUUCACGAGUGGGGGACAUACACCUGUUUAUAAUAUUGUAAAUGCAUUUUUUCAUGAGUUUACAGUGUUCAAAAGUAUUUUCUUCAUUCUAAGUGUGGACAUGCCAAUUUUGCAUAAUAGUCAUAUCCCAGAACAAAAGUCACAUUAAAAUUUUAUUCAUUUAUUCAGGUUUUUUUCCUGCAUUAACGAAUUCAUUGUGUAGGAUUUCAUUUUUAUGUAAACCAAUUCAGUUACGAGAAUCAACUACUAAUUUUUUUCCCGUUAAUUGGCUACGUUUACGUUAAUUAACUGAUAAAUAACUUUGCAUUAGCAAAGCCAAGAGAUUAAUUUAAACCCCUAAGAUUCAAAUAUUCUUUCACUAGUACUACUGGACAAAUUUGGCAAUCGAUAUUUCGGAAGACAUCAUCACACGUGUCAAACAAAAGUUAAAAAAAUAGCCAGUCCCAUUAAAAUCACCAAAUGCAAUCCAAUAACAUGCUCCAUUAUGUAUUGACUUUCAUGAGAAUUAGCAGGAAAAAAAAAAGUUCAUUUAGUUAAGCAAAUAGCAACCUUUGAUUGUUCUUUAACAUUACUAAAAAUCUAAUUCUUACUUUACUUGAUUGUAUUGUCGAAUCUUUCUGAAAAGGUAGAAGAUAAAUCCCAUUUAUUGGAAUUGUAUGUAGGACGUGUUUUGUUCAAAAUCAGUAAUUUGACAGUUAAGAAAUGAACAGAAAGUUGUUGAAGGUAGUGCAUGACGUCUCAUGCGCUUUAAAUUUCAAAAAUUUAUAUCUUUUUGACAUGGAAACUACUCAGCAAGGAAAUGGUGGCUCAACAACAUUAUAUAUAUAGAGCUCUCUAGGUGAAUUGAAGAUGAGAAUGAGGGAUUGCAUAAGCUACAAGAAUGAACGGUCAUUUGUAAAGUACAGCGAAUAGGGUCCAUUAGAUCAAAUCAAGUAGAGUAGAAGAAAAUGAAUACACUUAUGCUACAAUCAGUUUCAAUUUCUUUCAUCUGGUAACCGUCUAUAAACAAGAUACAAGCUCUAAGCCACCAAUGGGCUAUAAACAGAGCUUCAUUCAAGAGAGUUAAAGGUAUCCCAAGUUCUGAAAAUUGAGAGCAUGUACAAGUGAGCUUUUACAGAGAUUUUUCAGAGAAUGUUUUCUUAACUAUUCUAGAGGGAUUUAUAUUGGGUGUAUUUAGGUUAUCGGAUUUUGAGAAUUGUUCCCAUUCAAAGCCCAACCCCAAUUCAUGAGCCUAAAUAAUAAACCAAACAAAAGAGAAUAUUCUCUCAAUUUAUCUAGAAUUACUUUGCUAAAAAUAUCAUGAAUCAUUGGCGUUGUGGCAGUUUUAAAAUUUGGUGAUUCCUAAGAAAUUAAUGGUAAUAAGUUUAGAAUGUCGUUAUUUGUUAGGACCUGCAUUUAAAAUCUUAAAUAUUCGUAAUUAAUUAUAAAGAUCUCGGUUCACCUGCAAGCUACAACAAUUAGCUAACUGAUAUAUGGUAUUUUUUACAAAACUAUUCAAAAAGAAAGGGUAUAAUUAAUCAAACUGAUUUGGACAAUACCACACGAUUUUUUUUUUAUUGACAAACCAACAUAAACAACAUAUUAACGUAAAUAACGCAUUCACAUAUAAUUGUUUUAUUUAGUUAUUAAGAAAGACGAAGUACAUGGACGGUGGACACUAAGAAAUAUAAUCUCUUGUAUAUCAAGAGAUUUUAGAGGUUGAAAUGAACUAAACUGACCCUCACACAAUUAAUUGACAGUAAUUGACAGGUAAGAACAGUACCCAUCCUUUUAUUAACCAUAAUGGAAAAGAGUAAUACUGCGUGCGUGCGUGCGCUUAUUAACCAGUGUGGUCGGGAUUUCUUCCAUAUUGAGGGACAGCAAUAAGAUCAAGAUUGUCAACUGUCCCGUCCUUAUCAUCAGCAAUACCAUAUACAGGUACUGGAGUACCCUCCAACCAUUCAUUCUUACCUGAAAGUUUAACAUUAGAAAAUGGAUUCAUAAAUGCUUAUAUUAAUAUAUGAAUUGUAAAUGAUAUCCAUUCAGCUGAAAUUGGCUAAAAAACCUGCGCAAGGAAAAGGAGUUUCCAUAUUCUUCAAAUCAGAAAAGAUCUCCAG
This 14348-nucleotide long non-coding RNA is filed under the name Citrus maxima (pomelo). RNAcentral describes it as "long non-coding RNA (CMAX_LNC003910)". The record is from RNAcentral. Lineage: Eukaryota; Viridiplantae; Streptophyta; Magnoliopsida; Sapindales; Rutaceae.